GGAGGAAGAGAAAGAAAAAUCGAUUUCCUGAGUAGCGGCGAGCGAAACGGAAAGAGCCCAAACCAAGAAGCUUGCUUCUUGGGGUUGUAGGACACUCUAUACGGAGUUACAAAAGAAAGUUAUAAAUGAAGCGGUCUGGAAAGGCCCGCCAAAGACGGUAACAGCCCGGUAGUUGAAAUGGCUUUCCCUCCAGAGUGGAUCCUGAGUACGGCGGAACACGUGAAAUUCCGUCGGAAUCCGGGAGGACCAUCUCCCAAGGCUAAAUACUCCCUAGUGACCGAUAGUGAACCAGUACCGUGAGGGAAAGGUGAAAAGCACCCCGGAAGGGGAGUGAAACAGUUCCUGAAACCGUGUGCCUACAAGUAGUUAGAGCCCGUUAAUGGGUGAUAGCGUGCCUUUUGUAGAAUGAACCGGCGAGUUACGAUUUGUUGCAAGGUUAAGCGGAAAAAGCGGAGCCGUAGCGAAAGCGAGUCUGAAUAGGGCGCAUAAGUAACAGGUCGUAGACCCGAAACCAGGUGAUCUACCCAUGUCCAGGAUGAAGGUAAGGUAAUACUUACUGGAGGUCCGAACCCACGCACGUUGAAAAGUGCGGGGAUGAGGUGUGGGUAGCGGAGAAAUUCCAAUCGAACUUGGAGAUAGCUGGUUCUCUCCGAAAUAGCUUUAGGGCUAGCCUCGAGGUAAAGAGUCAUGGAGGUAGAGCACUGUUUGGACUAGGGGCCCUUCUCGGGUUACCGAAUUCAGAUAAACUCCGAAUGCCAUGUACUUAUACUCGGGAGUCAGACUGCGAGUGAUAAGAUCCGUAGUCGAAAGGGAAACAGCCCAGACCACCAGUUAAGGUCCCCAAAUAUAUGUUAAGUGGAAAAGGAUGUGGGGUUGCUUAGACAACCAGGAUGUUGGCUUAGAAGCAGCCACCAUUGAAAGAGUGCGUAAUAGCUCACUGGUCGAGUGACCCCGCGCCGAAAAUGUACCGGGGCUAAACAUAUUACC
Molecule: ribosomal RNA, 987 nt
Filed under: Listeria monocytogenes
Lineage: Bacteria; Bacillati; Bacillota; Bacilli; Caryophanales; Listeriaceae
Description: partial 23S ribosomal RNA
Rfam family: Bacterial large subunit ribosomal RNA
Source: RNAcentral